UACGGAUUUUNUCUUUAUAGCUUGCUAUGAUAAAAAUUAGUGGCAGACGGGUGAGUAAUGCAUAGGAAUCUACCUAGUAGUAUGGGAUAGCCACUAGAAAUGGUGGGUAAUACUGUAUAAUCCCUGCGGGGGAAAGAUUUAUCGCUAUUAGAUGAGCCUAUGUUAGAUUAGCUAGUUGGUAGGGUAAAGGCCUACCAAGGCAGUGAUCUAUAGCUGGUCUGAGAGGAUGAUCAGCCACACUGGAACUGAGAUACGGUCCAGACUCCUACGGGAGGCAGCAGUGGGGAAUAUUGGACAAUGGGCGCAAGCCUGAUCCAGCUAUGCCGCGUGAGUGAGGAAGGCCUUAGGGUUGUAAAACUCUUUCAGUGGGGAAGAUAAUGACGGUACCCACAGAAGAAGUCCCGGCAAACUCCGUGCCAGCAGCCGCGGUAAUACGGAGGGGUCGAGCGUUGUUCGGAAUUAUUGGGCGUAAAGGGCAUGUAGGCGGUUCGGUAAGUUAAAGGUGAAAUGCCAGGGCUUAACCCUGGAGCUGCUUUAAAAUACUGCCA
RNAcentral lists this ribosomal RNA (548 nucleotides) under uncultured Anaplasma sp. RNAcentral's name for it is "bacterial SSU rRNA". It matches the Rfam family "Bacterial small subunit ribosomal RNA", at positions 65 to 638 of the family's 1533-position model. The record is from RNAcentral. Lineage: Bacteria; Pseudomonadati; Pseudomonadota; Alphaproteobacteria; Rickettsiales; Anaplasmataceae.